GCUGGAAAGAAUUUCGGUCAGGGAUGAGCUCGCGGCCUAUCAGCUUGUUGGUGAGGUAAUGGCUCACCAAGGCGUCGACGGGUAGCCGGCCUGAGAGGGUGACCGGCCACACUGGGACUGAGACACGGCCCAGACUCCUACGGGAGGCAGCAGUGGGGAAUAUUGCACAAUGGGCGCAAGCCUGAUGCAGCAACGCCGCGUGAGGGAUGACGGCCUUCGGGUUGUAAACCUCUUUUAGCAGGGAAGAAGCGAAAGUGACGGUACCUGCAGAAAAAGCGCCGGCUAACUACGUGCCAGCAGCCGCGGUAAUACGUAGGGCGCAAGCGUUAUCCGGAAUUAUUGGGCGUAAAGAGCUCGUAGGCGGUCUGUCGCGUCUGCUGUGAAAACCCGAGGCUCAACCUCGGGCCUGCAGUGGGUACGGGCAGACUAGAGUGCGGUAGGGGAGAUUGGAAUUCCUGGUGUAGCGGUGGAAUGCGCAGAUAUCAGGAGGAACACCGAUGGCGAAGGCAGAUCUCUGGGCCGUAACUGACGCUGAGGAGCGAAAGGGUGGGGAGCAAACAGGCUUAGAUACCCUGGUAGUCCACCCCGUAAACGUUGGGAACUAGUUGUGGGGUCCAUUCCACGGAUUCCGUGACGCAGCUAACGCAUUAAGUUCCCCGCCUGGGGAGUACGGCCGCAAGGCUAAAACUCAAAGGAAUUGACGGGGACCCGCACAAGCGGCGGAGCAUGCGGAUUAAUUCGAUGCAACGCGAAGAACCUUACCAAGGCUUGACAUAUAGAGGAAACGUCUGGAAACAGUCGCCCCGCAAGGUCUCUAUACAGGUGGUGCAUGGUUGUCGUCAGCUCGUGUCGUGAGAUGUUGGGUUAAGUCCCGCAACGAGCGCAACCCUCGUUCUAUGUUGCCAGCACGUAAUGGUGGGAACUCAUGGGAUACUGCCGGGGUCAACUCGGAGGAAGGUGGGGAUGACGUCAAAUCAUCAUGCCCCUUAUGUCUUGGGCUUCACGCAUGCUACAAUGGCCGGUACAAAGGGCUGCAAUACCGUGAGGUGGAGCGAAUCCCAAAAAGCCGGUCCCAGUUCGGAUUGAGGUCUGCAACUCGACCUCAUGAAGUCGGAGUCGCUAGUAAUCGCAGAUCAGCAACGCUGCGGUGAAUACGUUCCCGGGUCUUGUACACACCGCCCGUCAAGUCAUGAAAGUCGGUAACACCUGAAGCCGGUGGCCCAA
RNAcentral lists this ribosomal RNA (1224 nucleotides) under Microbacterium paludicola. RNAcentral describes it as "bacterial SSU rRNA". It matches the Rfam family "Bacterial small subunit ribosomal RNA", at positions 198 to 1438 of the family's 1533-position model. Lineage: Bacteria; Bacillati; Actinomycetota; Actinomycetes; Micrococcales; Microbacteriaceae. The record is from RNAcentral.